AGAAUAGGGGUGGUGCCGGAGCGGGGCGGCGGAGGAGAGUGGUGGCGCCUGAACAGAGCGGCGGUUGGGGCACCUAGAAGGGAUCUAGCUGAGACGGCGGCGGUAGUAUGACGGCGUCUCGUCUAGCUCUACGCUCUACGACCUGUGCUACGCCCUCGUCCGUAGAACUUAACCUGGCUCUAGGUCACGCAGCUGGAGUGUGUCAGAGAGGCCCUUCCUCAAGCGUCGAGCGCAUCCACAAGCCAACGACUUCCGUGGAAGUGGUGUAACAGUAAGUAAACACUCUACAAAGACAAAGAGAUACAACCGUACCUACGUAACCUAUAUCUCUAAACCUUCUAACAAUCGCCUUGUGUAUAUGUCCGUUGACGCCCCUGAUGGUUGUCCGCCGCAUGGACGAUGCACAACCACUACUCGUUCGAUCGGUUCCCCGUCGUAUCACUUAGCUACUUCUUCGACCUUAGGAUUAUCCUCCUUAUAAAAGUUGACCAAACUGCGUACAACCUCCUCCAUAAGAGCGGGUGACACCAAUAGGUCGUAAAAUCGGACAA
RNAcentral lists this ribosomal RNA (551 nucleotides) under Triticum aestivum (bread wheat). Its description in RNAcentral is "partial small subunit ribosomal RNA". The record is from RNAcentral. Lineage: Eukaryota; Viridiplantae; Streptophyta; Magnoliopsida; Poales; Poaceae.